Molecule: ribosomal RNA, 468 nt
Filed under: uncultured bacterium
Lineage: Bacteria
Description: partial 16S ribosomal RNA
Rfam family: Bacterial small subunit ribosomal RNA
Source: RNAcentral
GACGAACGCUGGCGGCGUGCUUAACACAUGCAAGUCGAACGGAAAGGCCCUGCUUUUGUGGGGUGCUCGAGUGGCGAACGGGUGAGUAACACGUGAGUAACCUGCCCUUGACUUUGGGAUAACUUCAGGAAACUGGGGCUCAUACCGGAUAGGAGCUCCUGCUGCAUGGUGGGGGUUGGAAAGUUUCGGCGGUUGGGGAUGGACUCGCGGCUUAUCAGCUUGUUGGUGGGGUAGUGGCUUACCAAGGCUUUGACGGGUAGCCGGCCGGAGAGGGUGACCGGCCACAUUGGGACUGAGAUACGGGCCAGACUCCUACGGGAGGCAGCAGUGGGGAAUAUUGCACAAUGGGCGGAAGCCUGAUGCAGCAACGCCGCGUGCGGGAUGACGGCCUUCGGGUUGUAAACCGCUUUCGCCUGUGACGAAGCGUGAGUGACGGUAAUGGGUAAAGAAGCACCGGCUAACUACGUG